RNAcentral lists this non-coding RNA (1627 nucleotides) under Saccharomyces cerevisiae (brewer's yeast). Its description in RNAcentral is "ribosomal RNA". It matches the Rfam family "Bacterial small subunit ribosomal RNA". The record is from RNAcentral. Lineage: Eukaryota; Fungi; Ascomycota; Saccharomycetes; Saccharomycetales; Saccharomycetaceae.
UUUUAUAAGAAUAUGAUGUUGGUUCAGAUUAAGCGCUAAAUAAGGACAUGACACAUGCGAAUCAUACGUUUAUUAUUGAUAAUAUAAUAAAUAUGUGGUGUAAACGUGAGUAAUUUUAUUAGGAAUUAAUGAACUAUAGAAUAAGCUAAAUACUUAAUAUAUUAUUAUAUAAAAAUAAUUUAUAUAAUAAAAAGGAUAUAUAUAUAAUAUAUAUUUAUCUAUAGUCAAGCCAAUAAUGGUUUAGGUAGUAGGUUUAUUAAGAGUUAAACCUAGCCAACGAUCCAUAAUCGAUAAUGAAAGUUAGAACGAUCACGUUGACUCUGAAAUAUAGUCAAUAUCUAUAAGAUACAGCAGUGAGGAAUAUUGGACAAUGAUCGAAAGAUUGAUCCAGUUACUUAUUAGGAUGAUAUAUAAAAAUAUUUUAUUUUAUUUAUAAAUAUUAAAUAUUUAUAAUAAUAAUAAUAAUAUAUAUAUAUAUAUAAAUUGAUUAAAAAUAAAAUCCAUAAAUAAUUAAAAUAAUGAUAUUAAUUACCAUAUAUAUUUUUAUAUGGAUAUAUAUAUUAAUAAUAAUAUUAAUUUUAUUAUUAUUAAUAAUAUAUUUUAAUAGUCCUGACUAAUAUUUGUGCCAGCAGUCGCGGUAACACAAAGAGGGCGAGCGUUAAUCAUAAUGGUUUAAAGGAUCCGUAGAAUGAAUUAUAUAUUAUAAUUUAGAGUUAAUAAAAUUAAUUAAAGAAUUAUAAUAGUAAAGAUGAAAUAAUAAUAAUAAUUAUAAGACUAAUAUAUGUGAAAAUAUUAAUUAAAUAUUAACUGACAUUGAGGGAUUAAAACUAGAGUAGCGAAACGGAUUCGAUACCCGUGUAGUUCUAGUAGUAAACUAUGAAUACAAUUAUUUAUAAUAUAUAUUAUAUAUAAAUAAUAAAUGAAAAUGAAAGUAUUCCACCUGAAGAGUACGUUAGCAAUAAUGAAACUCAAAACAAUAGACGGUUACAGACUUAAGCAGUGGAGCAUGUUAUUUAAUUCGAUAAUCCACGACUAACCUUACCAUAUUUUGAAUAUUAUAAUAAUUAUUAUAAUUAUUAUAUUACAGGCGUUACAUUGUUGUCUUUAGUUCGUGCUGCAAAGUUUUAGAUUAAGUUCAUAAACGAACAAAACUCCAUAUAUAUAAUUUUAAUUAUAUAUAAUUUUAUAUUAUUUAUUAAUAUAAAGAAAGGAAUUAAGACAAAUCAUAAUGAUCCUUAUAAUAUGGGUAAUAGACGUGCUAUAAUAAAAUGAUAAUAAAAUUAUAUAAAAUAUAUUUAAUUAUAUUUAAUUAAUAAUAUAAAACAUUUUAAUUUUUAAUAUAUUUUUUUAUUAUAUAUUAAUAUGAAUUAUAAUCUGAAAUUCGAUUAUAUGAAAAAAGAAUUGCUAGUAAUACGUAAAUUAGUAUGUUACGGUGAAUAUUCUAACUGUUUCGCACUAAUCACUCAUCACGCGUUGAAACAUAUUAUUAUCUUAUUAUUUAUAUAAUAUUUUUUAAUAAAUAUUAAUAAUUAUUAAUUUAUAUUUAUUUAUAUCAGAAAUAAUAUGAAUUAAUGCGAAGUUGAAAUACAGUUACCGUAGGGGAACCUGCGGUGGGCUUAUAAAUAUC